Capsicum annuum is the source of this 1392-nucleotide long non-coding RNA. RefSeq lists it as uncharacterized. The transcript is spliced from 3 exons. The record is from RefSeq and is a predicted model, not a curated record. Lineage: Eukaryota; Viridiplantae; Streptophyta; Magnoliopsida; Solanales; Solanaceae.
UUUAAAUGCUGCUUUAGAUUAGAAAGUCACCUUGUUAUAUUAUGUGUUCAGUGGGUUCUCAUUUAUACUGCUCAUCAUAUUUUCUGCACUAUCUUUUCAACAUUUUCUCUGAAGUCUAUAAUUUACUCUUCUUCACUUUGAACUUGGGCUCUGCAGGGCUUUGCAUCUUGGACUUCUAUAUGUUGGUUCACUUGUAGUACUUCUUGUGUAUUCUAUCCUGUAUGGUCUGACAGCAAAGGAAUCAAACUGGCUUGGGGCUACAACAUCAGCUGCCGUGAUAAUCCUUGAUUGGAACUUGGGAGCAUGCUUGUAUGGUUUUAAGCUUCUGAAAAGUUGAGUCAUCGUACUUUUUGUUGCCGGUACAUCUCGGGUGUUCCUGAUCUGUUUUGGAGUUCAUUACUGGUACUUUGGACAUUGUAUCAGUUAUGCAGUUGUAGCAUCUGUGCUGUUGGGUGCUGCUGUUUCACGGCAUUUAUCAGUUACAGACCUAUUAUCAGCUAGACGAGAUGCCUUGCAGAGCAUAGUUAUCCGACUUAGAGAAGGUUUCCGCAGAGAAGACCAAAAUAGCUCCGCAAGCUCUUCUUGGUAAUGCAACUGUGCCUUGCACUGGUGAUGGCAGUACCUGGAAUAACAUUGAGGGGAUUAAUAGUGAUAAGAGUAUAGACAGUGGAAGACCAAGUCUAGCUCUACGUAGUAGUUCCUGUCGUUCAGUUGUUCAAGAGCCUGAAGUAGGAUCAUCAUAUGUUGACAGAAAUUUAGAGCAUAAUAGUUCAUUGGUUGUUUGUUCUAGCAGUGUCCUUGAAAGCCAAGGCGGUGAUUCUAGUACAUCCACUUCUGCAAAUCAACAGAUACUGGACUUGAAUUUGGCACUUCAUUUCAAGAAAAGUUGAGUGAUCCCAGGAUUACAUCUAUGUUAAAGCGGAAAGGAAGACACACUGAUCGUGAAUUAGCUAAUUUAUUGCAAGAUAAAGGGCUUGAUCCUAAUUUUGCAGUGAUGCUGAAGGAGAAUGGAUUGGACCCAAUGAUUCUAGCCUUGUUGCAGACAAGUAGUUUAGACGCUGAUCGAGAACAUCGCGACAGUAACCCUCCUGUCACUGAUUCAAAUGAUGUUGAGGAUGUGUUACCUAAUCAUAUUUCAUUCUCGGAAGAACUUAGACUCCAAGCAUUAGGAAGUGGCUUCAACGUUGCAGAGUAAUGUUGCAUCAUGUAGCAGGAACUCCAGAGCGAGUAUAGCUUCUUUUCAGUUUAAUCUUCAUUCUUGAAACCGUCAUUGUGGCUAUCUUCCGACCAAAGACAAUAAAACUUUUGAAUGCUACACACCAACAGGUAAGAAAUGCAUUAGUACUUUUAAAGUUCAGUUUAGUGUAUUUGGAGUACGGUGCAGCUAAAAUG